Molecule: ribosomal RNA, 253 nt
Filed under: uncultured bacterium
Lineage: Bacteria
Description: partial 16S ribosomal RNA
Rfam family: Bacterial small subunit ribosomal RNA
Source: RNAcentral
UACGUAGGGUGCGAGCGUUAAUCGGAAUUACUGGGCGUAAAGCGUGCGCAGGCGGUUUGUUAAGACAGGUGUGAAAUCCCCGGGCUUAACCUGGGAAUGGCGCUUGUUACUGGCAAGCUAGAGUGUGUCAGAGGGAGGUAGAAUUCCACGUGUAGCAGUGAAAUGCGUAGAGAUGUGGAGGAAUACCGAUGGCGAAGGCAGCCUCCUGGGAUAACACUGACGCUCAUGCACGAAAGCGUGGGGAGCAAACAGG